GCUCCCGUUGACAAGCGGCCUAAGUCAACCGGCUUUCUACCGGUUACCGCGGGUUCGAAUCCCGCCGGGAGUA
RNAcentral lists this transfer RNA (73 nucleotides) under uncultured Cytophagales bacterium. Its description in RNAcentral is "tRNA-Glu-TTC". It matches the Rfam family "tRNA". From Rfam's summary of the family: Transfer RNA (tRNA) molecules are approximately 80 nucleotides in length. Their secondary structure includes four short double-helical elements and three loops (D, anti-codon, and T loops). Further hydrogen bonds mediate the characteristic L-shaped molecular structure. tRNAs have two regions of fundamental functional importance: the anti-codon, which is responsible for specific mRNA codon recognition, and the 3' end, to which the tRNAs corresponding amino acid is attached (by aminoacyl-tRNA synthetases). tRNAs cope with the degeneracy of the genetic code in two manners: having more than one tRNA (with a specific anti-codon) for a particular amino acid; and 'wobble' base-pairing, i.e. permitting non-standard base-pairing at the 3rd anti-codon position. The record is from RNAcentral. Lineage: Bacteria; Pseudomonadati; Bacteroidota; Sphingobacteriia; Sphingobacteriales.